Molecule: non-coding RNA, 70 nt
Organism: Schistosoma mattheei
Lineage: Eukaryota; Metazoa; Platyhelminthes; Trematoda; Strigeidida; Schistosomatidae
Source: Rfam
UCAAUAACUCCGCCUGUAGCUCUAACAGGGUUACUGCCGGUCCCAAGCCCGGAUAAAGGAGGAGGGUUGG